GCAAGUCGAGCGGUAACAGGAAGAAAGCUUGCUUUCUUUGCUGACGAGCGGCGGACGGGUGAGUAAUGCCUGGGAAUAUGCCUUGAUGUGGGGGACAACAUGUGGAAACGCAUGCUAAUACCGCAUACGCCCUACGGGGGAAAGGAGGGGAUCUUCGGACCUUUCGCUAUUAGAUGAGCCUGCGUAAGAUUAGCUAGUUGGUGGGGUAAAGGCUCACCAAGGCGACGAUCUUUAGCUGGUCUGAGAGGAUGAUC
RNAcentral lists this ribosomal RNA (254 nucleotides) under uncultured bacterium. Its description in RNAcentral is "partial 16S ribosomal RNA". It matches the Rfam family "Bacterial small subunit ribosomal RNA", at positions 57 to 305 of the family's 1533-position model. The record is from RNAcentral.